This 254-nucleotide ribosomal RNA is filed under the name uncultured bacterium. RNAcentral's name for it is "partial 16S ribosomal RNA". It matches the Rfam family "Bacterial small subunit ribosomal RNA", at positions 524 to 776 of the family's 1533-position model. The record is from RNAcentral.
UACGUAGGGGGCGAGCGUUGUCCGGAUUUAUUGGGCGUAAAGAGCUCGUAGGCGGUUUCGUUAGUCGGGUGUGAAAACCCCAGGCUCAACCUGGGGACGCCACCCGAUACUGCGAUGACUAGAGUCCGGUAGGGGAGUGUGGAAUUCCUGGUGUAGCGGUGAAAUGCGCAGAUAUCAGGAGGAACACCAACGGCGAAGGCAGCACUCUGGGCCGGAACUGACGCUGAGACGCGAAAGCGUGGGGAGCAAACAGG